This 439-nucleotide ribosomal RNA is filed under the name uncultured bacterium. RNAcentral's name for it is "partial 16S ribosomal RNA". It matches the Rfam family "Bacterial small subunit ribosomal RNA", at positions 339 to 795 of the family's 1533-position model. The record is from RNAcentral.
CUACGGGUGGCUGCAGUGAGGAAUAUUGCACAAUGGGGGGAACCCUGAUGCAGCAACGCCGCGUGGAGGAUGACGCAUUUCGGUGUGUAAACUCCUUUUAUAUGUCAAGAAAAUGACGGUAGCAUAUGAAUAAGCACCGGCUAACUCCGUGCCAGCAGCCGCGGCAAUACGGAGGGUGCAAGCGUUACUCGGAAUCACUGGGCGUAAAGGAGGCGUAGGCGGGCUUGUAAGUCAGGUGUGAAAUCCUACAGCUUAACUGUAGAACUGCACUUGAAACUACGAGCCUAGAGUAUGGGAGGGGCAGAUGGAAUUAGUGGUGUAGGGGUAAAAUCCGUAGAUAUCACUAGGAAUACCUAAAGCGAAGGCGAUCUGCUGGAACAUAACUGACGCUAAGGCGUGAAAGCGUGGGGAGCAAACAGGAUUAGAUACCCUCGUAGUC